GGAUGCGGAGGUGUUGGUAGGGACGGAACUCGGGGCGCGGGCGGUGGCCCGAGUGGAGAUAGGAGUUGAAGGUGCAGAGGGCCACGCUGGGCAGCGCCAGCACGAAGGUCAGCAGACGCCAGGUCUUCUCCCCUGGGUGCGGAAGGACGCGCUGGGAGAGGGAGGUCUUCUCAUUGACACUGUCACCGCAGCUGCAGCAGCAGAAGGGACACACUCUCCUGUGUGAAUUCGCUGGUGGCCGAUCAGCUUCCACCGGUCCCCAAAAACCUGCUGGUACUGGGGACAGACGCAGGGCUUCGGCCAGUGUGUGCUCCUUGGUGAGCCAGCAGCAGAGCUGGCCGCUAAACCCUUGCCGCACUCCCGCAGACGAAUGGCUUCUCCCGAGUGGACUCGCUGGUGCUUGAUGAGGUUGGAGCGGCCACAGCAGGUCUUGCCGCACUGGGGACAGCGACAAGGUCUCUCGCCAGUCGCUGUGGACCCGCCAGUGCUGGAGGAGGGAUGCGCUCUGAGUAAAACCCCUCCCGCAGGCCUUGCACUUGCAGGGCUGACGGCCCUGGGUGAAUCUGCCGGUGCUGCAGCAGGUAGGAGCUCUGGCUGAAACGCUUUCCACAGUCAGGGCAAAGGGGAGGCUUCUCAUGAGCAGGGCUUCGGAGAUGACCGCUCAGGGAGUAACUGUACGGGAGGCUUUGCCGCACUUGGCGCAGCUGUGGGGCCUCUGCCGCACUCAGGCUUCCCGUGGCCACGAGCUCACAGUCUGGGAGCAGCACCCGGCCCCAGGCCUCGGGGGCUGUCUGGAGAGUUCUCUAAUGUAAGACGCUGGGCAAUGUCAUCUGAAGGUGUUUCUUGAGGCUCUCGGGCAUGUCCCUGGGUGUUCCCCAUCACUAAGUCCAUCCUCUUGGAUACGCUGGUCCUCACUGCCGUGUCCAGUUCCUGCGGAAGGAAAGAUUUCAGAUCCCAGAGCCAUCAUUCUCUCUAGAGGGAGAGAAAACCACAGAAAAAUUUUACUACAAACUGCAAAGGAG
Molecule: long non-coding RNA, 1022 nt
Filed under: Homo sapiens (human)
Lineage: Eukaryota; Metazoa; Chordata; Mammalia; Primates; Hominidae
Description: HSALNT0229900
Source: RNAcentral